This 429-nucleotide ribosomal RNA is filed under the name uncultured bacterium. Its description in RNAcentral is "bacterial SSU rRNA". It matches the Rfam family "Bacterial small subunit ribosomal RNA", at positions 28 to 507 of the family's 1533-position model. The record is from RNAcentral.
GAUGAACGCUGGCGGUGUGCCUAAUACAUGCAAGUCGAACGAGAUCUUCGGAUCUAGUGGCGGACGGGUGAGUAACACGUUGGUACCUACCCCUAAGUGGGGAAUAACUGCCCGAAAGGGUGGCUAAUACCGCAUAAUCCCGCAAGGGUAAAGCAGUAAUGCGCUUAGGGAGGGGCCUGCGUCCCAUUAGCUUGUUGGUAGUGUAAUGGACUACCAAGGCGACGAUGGGUAGCUGGAUCGAGAGGUUGACCAGCCACACUGGGACUGAGAUACGGCCCAGACUCCUACGGGAGCAGCAGUAGGAUCUCCACAUGGACAAGUCUGAUGGAGCAACACCGCGUGCAGGGAUGACGGCCUUCGGGUUGUAAACUGCUUUUAUAUGGGAAGAUUAUGACGGUACCAUAUGAAUAAGGACCGGCUAACUACGUG